RNAcentral lists this unclassified non-coding RNA (256 nucleotides) under uncultured Gemmatimonadota bacterium. RNAcentral's name for it is "uncultured Gemmatimonadetes bacterium contains 16S-23S intergenic spacer region". It matches the Rfam family "Bacterial small subunit ribosomal RNA", at positions 524 to 761 of the family's 1533-position model. Lineage: Bacteria; Pseudomonadati; Gemmatimonadota. The record is from RNAcentral.
GACGGAGGGCGCAAGCGUUGUUCGGAAUUACUGGGCGUAAAGCGCGCGUAGGCGGGAGGGGAAGUCGGGGGUGAAAUCUUAGGGCUCAACCCUAGGGCUGCCGCCGAGACUCUUCUUCUAGGGACCGGUAGAGGCCGGUGGAAUUCCCGGUGUAGCGGUGGAAUGCGUAGAUAUCGGGAAGAACACCAGUGGCGAAGGCGACCGGCUGGGCCGGAGACUUCUUAUGGAGUCGAUCCGACGCUGAGGCGCGAAAGCG